GUUGGAUUAAAAUUAAUUUUUGGUGUAGGAGCUAGAAAAUUAGGUCUGUUCGACC
RNAcentral lists this transfer RNA (55 nucleotides) under Hydrothassa glabra. RNAcentral's name for it is "tRNA-Gln". Lineage: Eukaryota; Metazoa; Arthropoda; Insecta; Coleoptera; Chrysomelidae. The record is from RNAcentral.